GGGGAUUUAGCUCAGCGGCAUAAGCGCCUGCCUUGCAAGCAGGCAGUCCUGAGUUCAAUCCUCC
RNAcentral lists this transfer RNA (64 nucleotides) under Cavia porcellus (domestic guinea pig). It matches the Rfam family "tRNA", at positions 1 to 62 of the family's 71-position model. From Rfam's summary of the family: Transfer RNA (tRNA) molecules are approximately 80 nucleotides in length. Their secondary structure includes four short double-helical elements and three loops (D, anti-codon, and T loops). The record is from Rfam by way of RNAcentral. Lineage: Eukaryota; Metazoa; Chordata; Mammalia; Rodentia; Caviidae.